Molecule: small nucleolar RNA, 75 nt
Filed under: Leptobrachium leishanense (Leishan spiny toad)
Lineage: Eukaryota; Metazoa; Chordata; Amphibia; Anura; Megophryidae
Source: RNAcentral
UUGCAAUGAUGUUUGAAUUUCUUCACCUGAAAAAUACGUGUAGAUUAAACAACGAGCUUUUUAACCCUGAGCAAU